This 230-nucleotide ribosomal RNA is filed under the name Odontophora peritricha. RNAcentral describes it as "partial 18S ribosomal RNA". It matches the Rfam family "Eukaryotic small subunit ribosomal RNA", at positions 196 to 424 of the family's 1831-position model. The record is from RNAcentral. Lineage: Eukaryota; Metazoa; Nematoda; Chromadorea; Araeolaimida; Axonolaimidae.
AAGGAGCGCAUUUAUUAGAAACAAAACCAAUCGGGCUUCGGCUCGUCUUUGGUGGAUCUGAAUAACUCAGUUGAUCGCAUGGUCUCGCACCGGCGACGUAUCUUCCAAGUGUCUGCCUUAUCAACUUUUGAUGGUAGUUUAUGCGACUACCAUGGUUGUAACGGGUAACGGAGAAUAAGGGUUCGACUCCGGAGAGGGAGCCUGAGAAACGGCUACCACAUCCAAGGAAG